Molecule: long non-coding RNA, 634 nt
Organism: Harpia harpyja (harpy eagle)
Lineage: Eukaryota; Metazoa; Chordata; Aves; Accipitriformes; Accipitridae
Exons: 3
Source: RefSeq, a predicted model, not a curated record
CAGAUAUGGCCGGUACUUCUAUUUUAGAUUCAUCUGCCCAGACAUUCCUCAUUUUCUCAGGUAAUAAAGAACAAAGAGGACAGAAACUCUGAAACAGUUACCCUUUCCUCAUUGAGAUAAAACUAAGGCAGCAAAUAAAGUUUCCUGUUGUCUGUUCCUAUAAAUGCUGUGGGAAAAUAAAUUAAGGGCCAAGCUGCAGGGAAGAUUCAGCCAAACUGCUUCAACUUGUAUCAUGGUACAUCGAAGCAAACUGAUCUGGGGUCACCUCAAUAUGCAGGGCAGUAAGCUGUGGCAGACUAGUAGUCGCUAUAAAAGCAGCUUUCCUAUCCUAGCCCUAGAUUUGCAGUUGCAGACAGAGAAGCAGCAGAGCGUGCUGAGGACAGAAGUCACUGCAACCAUACCAAGUGGAAUUUGUCACUGAAACACCAACCUGGAGUUCAGCAGGGGAUAUCUUGCAUUUUUUUGAGAAACCAGAGCCAAAAUCUUCUGCACUGAUAUUUCAGAGGGACCAGGUCCAGAAUGAGGCUGUGAGCACAGACAACUGUCUCAGCUGAUGAAGGUAUUGUAGGAAGUUUUCAUCAAAAGGAAUAAAUCUAAGUUUGGUAAUAUUACCUUUCUAGAAGAACAUAAUAUA